This is a long non-coding RNA of Lycium ferocissimum, 667 nucleotides long. RefSeq lists it as uncharacterized. NCBI's taxonomy places the organism in Eukaryota, Viridiplantae, Streptophyta, Magnoliopsida, Solanales, Solanaceae. The record is from RefSeq and is a predicted model, not a curated record. The transcript is spliced from 2 exons.
AUUCUUAAGUUCCCAAUGUGCAGCUGUAUCCCAUUCUUUUUCUCUCUCACUGGCUUAUCUCCUUCAGUUUCCCAUCAAGACGACUCAAAUCCACAAGUUUCAGCGAUUAAAGCUAAUAAUUUUGUUUAAACUACCCCGUGAAUGUAUUAAGUCCUUAUGGAGUUUGCAAAAAGAAAAAGAAAAAAGAUCAAUUUAUUGCAUUCAAAUAGUACUCAUCAACUGGUUACAAUUGGUCAAGAAGAGCAUCUGGUUAAGGAUGAAGCGUGUUCUGGAGUAUUCACUAGUUGUCUUUUGAUUUCCUUUAGGACUUUCUUUUGAAGACUACUAUGCAGAUGCAGUGUUGGAUGAUUGCCAGCUUCCGAGUUGAUUACCCCUGUAGAAGCUACAGAAACUCUUAUGAUGGCAGCAUGUAUGGCUGAGGGAAAGAUUUACACUUAGAUGUAGCUCAGGAACCAGAAAUGACUGAUCUUGCCAACUUCUUGAGAAAUGACACACUCGCUACUUAUGGAAGGAGAAAGUUGUAUGCUUCUGAGUAUAACUUUUGUGCACAGAGUAUGUACUAAGGCCCUAUAGUAGAUGAAUAAACUUUCGUUUUUACACUUGAACUAGUAGCUUGGUAUGGAAUUGGUCUAUAAAGGUAUAAAUCAACUUUCAAUUUUUUGCUUGA